GUUGUUGUGGCCGAGUGGUUAAGGCGAUGGACUAGAAAUCUCCCCGCGCAGGUUCGAAUCCUGCCAACAACG
This is a non-coding RNA of Seriola aureovittata, 72 nucleotides long. The record is from the annotation of a RefSeq genome assembly. NCBI's taxonomy places the organism in Eukaryota, Metazoa, Chordata, Actinopteri, Carangiformes, Carangidae.